This 23199-nucleotide long non-coding RNA is filed under the name Setaria italica (foxtail millet). RNAcentral describes it as "long non-coding RNA (SITA_LNC006650)". Lineage: Eukaryota; Viridiplantae; Streptophyta; Magnoliopsida; Poales; Poaceae. The record is from RNAcentral.
CGCCUUCGACCCCACCUCCCUCACCGCCCCGCCGCUCGCCAUCGCCUGCACUGCACCACCACCCUUCGCAGGAUGAGACGGGAAGAAGAGAUGCGGGUGGAGGCGGCGGUGGUGGAGGACGCCGGGAGUGGAGGUUACGGCUUGGGGUUUUCCUCUGCUUUGCGGCCGCGCGAUCGAAUCGAUCGAUCGGGUGGGUCGUGCAGAGCAGCGCGGAGCGAGCUCAGAGCCCGGAUGGGUCGCCUCCUUUUUUUUUUUUUGUGCGGCUUUCCCGUGCGGCGAUGAGACGGGGGCGGACGGCGGCGGAAUACAUUCGAGAAAGGGGGCGCGUGGGAAAGCGACGGCCGGGAGCCGGGCCGCGGUCCGGCGACGCACGUGGGGGCCCGUGAGGCGUGACCGGCCGGGCCAGAGAAAAGAAAAGGAAAGGUCACGGCGGUGGGUUUCGGCCCACGAGACAUUCAAUUGAUAGGCACCCACAGCCCAAGGUGGUGAGGUUUCGGCUUGUUUCGGCCUGGUCCGGCGCAUUUUUUGGGGGACGUGCGUGUGCGGUGGACCUGGUGGUGGUGGCGCCGCCAGCCUGGCAAAGUGACGUUGUGUGCUGCUGGGCGGCGGUGGGGUCCAGCCGCCGUCUGCGCGGCUCGCUGCCGGUCGAGGAGCCUAUAAAAGGGGAGGGUCUCCGGCAGCUGGUGAGCGCCCUCGCUUGCGCAGAAACCCUAGUCGCCACAUCACGGCCGCCUCGCUCGAUCGGCAUACCGGUCGCCUUGCUCCCAUUUCUCACCUCCAUCUCUCUUCAGUCUUCAGAUCUGUGCACGGCCACAUCAAGCAUGUGCCUCUCCUUUCUCUGAUGUUGGGAGCGUAGCAUAGUAAGCCGGUUGCCGCGAGGUACUGUGAUUUGUGUUUGCGUCUCGGUCCUUUUGAUUGAUGCGGUUUUGGUUGUUUUUUUCUUCCGUUUGUGUGCGUCUUUUUGCCGGAUCACACGGAUCGAUGAUGCUGUUCAAGAAAUACUGCGUUAUCUUCCUGAUACAAAUGUGAGGCCGUCGUUGCGAUGGCCUCCUGAUGACUCAACUGUCUUGCUGAGAUCCAAGUGACAACAAAUCGGCAGCUCUUCUUUCUGUCGCCUCCCCGCCUCAAUCAUCUGCCUAUGCCUAUCAAUUGAAUGUCUCGUAGUCGUAGGACAGGUGUUUUUAUUUUCGUCGCUCAAUCCAUCUUGCCGCCCUGCUAUAAGAGCAUAUGUAACUGCCUUGCUUGCUUCAUAUGGUUGAAUUAAUACGAUCUGACUAGCCAGAUUUAGAAUGGUUGCUUCAUCAAACCAUCAAAUAAUUGAGCCCAAUCCAUCGAUGUUGCAAACCUAUGUGACCUCAACCAGACCAGUUGCAGUUUCAGUGCAGAGUUCAGACAAGCAUUCCUGAAAGGUCACCAACUCUUUGCUGCAUAUUAGCUUUUUUUAUAGCAAUUACUCAAACCGCUUUUCAGACCAUAACCGAAAUUAGCAGCACAUGACGUCUGAGACAGACAGAAAGUAUGGCAUCAGGGAAAAAAAAAAGGUCCCAAGCUAAACAGCAAGUGUAAAGCCAGCUAAUGCAGUUCACAAAUACUUGCAGCGACUUAAACUGCACCAAUUAACACAGUGAAGAUGAACACAGCAAAGUCAAGUACGUGCAUGUUAACCGAACACAGCCGAAUACGGUGCUACCAGUUUACUGAGAUGGUAUCUGGCGGAAGAAAGGUUAACUGAGUUAUGACACGAUUACAUUACAGGCAAUGCGGAAGCAAACUACGGUGUCAGCGUUUAACACCACUUUUCACAGUAUUGUCAAGCAAGCUUAUGUACAGCUGCUCUAACGAAUUUACAGUGACUCCAGCAAGCUCUAUCUCACGACUGAUGAUGGCGGAGCUUCCCCUAGUGUCUCCUAACCGUCAGCGGCAUAGAAAGGAAUCGACUUCAGUGGCAUCACCUUCUCCUGCAAUAUAAGGAAGUGCUGUCAGUGAAUUCUAACCUAUGCCUGGUAAGAAAAUGAACAGGAAUAGCGUGCCUUUGUUGCUACCUCAGAGUUCUCCAGAUGCUCUGAGGGGAAAUGAAGCCCAGUGGAACAGUUCUCAAGCACCUCCGGACUCUUCAGCCAUGCUUUGUGAGCUUCAAUGGCUUUCAGCUUAAAGCGAAACAUCUGCAAGUGCCAACAUCCACCCAUUUUCAGGCACACCACAUAUAAUGUACAGAAAAGUGAAAUGAAUUAUCCUGAAAGAGAAGAGAAAUAAGUAGCUGACAAGGAGUAAUAAUGUGCUACAAACCUCAGAUAAAGAAAUACUUGGCUUCUCCAGUUCAUCCCCCUUGACAUGAAUUCCAGUACCUUGACACUCUGGGCAAAAUAUGGAUGUUAUUUUGCUCUUCUUAGGUGCAUUCUUUGCCUUUCUUCCUCGAUUGCUCUUCCCCUUGCUAGCUAUUUGGUCACUCAGCAUCUCAUAUUGACACAAAAUACUCCAGUGUAAGAGGCAGGAAGUGUGAAACAGAUGAUAAGCCUGCAAAAUCAAGUGUAGCAAACUCAUUACAGCAGCAAAUUAAAAAUUUAAAAAAAGGAGACUUUCUAAUUAGUAUAUUUAAUAAGAUGGAAGAAAAGGAAUUCUGCCACUGCAUUUUUGUCUCAGGGAAGAUAGCUUUGUAUUGCUAAUUGUGAAACAAGGAUGCAGAAGGUCUAACUUUUGAAUUAUGUUCUCAUUUACUUCCUCUGUACAAAAAUAGUAAACCUGUCCAUGCUGCUAUGUUCAAGAAACAUUAUGGAAUAGAAGAGCAAAGAAUGCUUGAAAUUACUCACCCCACUCGAAUUUCUACUGCUGCAAGCUAGGUUUCCUGUAUUGCAGUUCAGCAAGGUAGCAACAUCCUUUCCAGGAAGCAUUGGUCUCCCACAGAUAUCACACACUUUCUCAGCUGCUAUGCGCUUCUGCUUCCUCAACUCUUUCCUCACUGAUUUGCUGGAUAAGAGGCCAACUUGAAGAUUGUGUGAGGUACCUGUUGGGGAACCAGUCACAAUAGCUUGGCUACUGCCCUGGGGAGAACUGCUUUGACCAUUCGACUCUUCUGAAGAUGCCUCCUGGUCCGAAAAGGACUUUCUCAUUCUCUUUCCACGAUGCCCAGCAUCAUCAAUAACAAAGAAAGAUCCAGCAGAGAUAGAAAGGUCCUGUUCAUCAGAAGACCACUUCCUGCCCAAAUCAUGAGUAUAAGAGAAGUUGACUAUGGCAAAGCCAGAUUGCUCAUAAGUGUUACAACUCUGAGAGCCAUGGGAGCCUUCUUGUCCUACCCAAGCACACCAGAUCUUGCUUAUCUUCUUGCAAUUCUUGUUACCUUCACAGAUCCUGUAUGAAAUAUUUCCAUACCCCAAAUGAUGCACAGGCAAGUCUGAAACAACAUCUUUUAUCAAUACACCAGGGAUAACAAGAGGACCAUCAGUUCCACUGUUUGACAGCACAUGAUCUUCAGAUACAGCAGCAACUCUACCACUAGCAUGGCCUUUUGCACAAUUGCGUGCACCUUCCACACCAUUACGGGAGCUAGAACCAUCUCUCAACUUUGAAGUCACCUCGAUCUCAUUCCCUGAAACCUCAGGCUGUGGAACUAGAGCUAGCUCUCUGGUGCUCUGCGAGCUUGAAUCCAGCAGGAGCGGAUCCUUCUCUCGCGAGUUGUUGAAGAACAGCACUCCGUCAUUAAACGGCCAUGGCAUCGGCCCAAACAGUGUGACCUUGGCCUCGGCGUACCGCCUUGAGUGCAGAUUCCCCUUGAGGUGGUCGAACAGCACAUUGUCGCUGAAGCACUCGGUGAGACAGAUGGUGCAGAAGAAGAUGACGCGCUUCCCGACGCGCCGGAGCUCCACAUAUGUGUGCCCAUUCUGCCGCACCUCCCGGAGAGUGGCCUUCGCAGCAAUCUCACGGAUGUCCACAGGGCCAUUCCUCUGGACCACCAAUUCCUUCCCCACCAUGGUGAAAUACUCGGAGCCACCAACCUUAAAUUUCCGCUUCUUUUGCUCACAAUUCCCUCAAAUUUCCCUCCAAAAACUACUUCCCUAACCUUCUCUUAUUGAAAUUAUAUGAAACUACAACCAAGACUAACACCUCUUCAGAUCUAUGCUUCCCUCCAAACCCUAAAAUUACAACUUAACAGCGAACUAACGGAGGUCGGAGCGGGCCUCGAUUACCCCACCCGUUUUUCCAGCUCUGUAUGCAUAGAUAGGAAGCCAAAUCGCACGAAAGCGGGCGGAAUUGAGCGCCCAUCCCAGAAACCGAAAUUUGAGUUCCCUGGCUCACAGCGAUGAAAGGGAAAUAUCAGCACGAACCUAGCUCGUCGAGCAAUCCAUCCAAUCAAGCAAGGUAGGCUCCCUUACGAACCAGAGCAGGAGCCACUUGAAGCCCGGAUGGAUCUGCGAGGGUUGGUGGUCACCAGCAAAGGGGAGGAGCGUAGCGACCGCGAGGGAUGAAGAACCGGACCGACGUGCUUCGGUGGAAGGAGGCGUGGGUGGGGGCGUGUUCCGCGGCGCGGUGAGGCAGCGGGGCCUUGGUCGCUGGUGGCGGGUGGCGGGAGCAGGUUCGCCGGCGAAGUGGUGGCUACCGGCGUCGGCGUGGGAAAUUUGGGAUGAGAAGGCGCAGGAGGACGACGAGAAUUCGAGAAGAGAAAGGAAGGCUGGUAGAAAGCGAAACGAGAGGUGUUCGGAAUAAAUAUGGUCACGGCGUGUUUCAGCAGACGGUUUUUUGAAUGGCUCGUGACUUACCGGAAGUGGGGUGAUAAAAAUGGUCGGAAGCCCGGAAAAGGCAACAAAAUUGUUGAUGGAGUUGUUUUAACUUUUAAGCAAACAUCCCUUUCUUUUUUUUGAGAAAUUUUAACAAACAUAGAAAAGAUAAAACUAUAAAAUAUUAUCAUUCACCUAGAUGUUUAUAUACGCAUAUGCAACUAUGCAUACACCCUACCUCUAUGAGCAUCGACGAGAUAUUGAAUUGACAAAUCUUGGUAUUAACAAUAUCACCGUAGCUCAUAGGCACAUCGUUAUCAACAGAAAUAUAUACCACUAAAAAUAUUGUUAAUUUCUAAAAUAAAUUUAGAAAAAUACGAGCACCCAUAUUAAUUUGAUGAUUCUAACCCAAAUAGACGUGCUUGAUCGUAAAGAACCUUAUGAACUGAGCUGUGCUUUGAUUCACAAAUUUACUGUUUACAUUAAGAUGUAUUUUGGGAUAAUGAAACUUAAAACUAAUAAUGAAAAUAGGAGCACUCCCAAAGAAAUCUGUUCAAAACAUGAUUUCCUCGUUCAUUUCCCUACCCUAAUCGUCAAUGUUUUGUGAUAUCGGCAGUUCGGCACAUCGUCUUAUGAUUUCAUUGGAUCGUCCCAUACGUUGUUUUGUAAUAUUGGCAGACUAGUGUUGUACUGUUAAACACGGCUCUAUGUUGACCGGGACCGGGAUCAUAUACUUUCUUUCCUCUUAAGAUAUAUGCUCACACACGAUGGGAAAAAAAAUCAAACUAUACAGAAACACAUGCAGCAGUUCUCGUGACCGCCUCCGGUGCCCAUUUCUAUCUGGGCAGAUAAAAAAAAAGGCAUGCAUCACACGCUUCGUCUCCACCAUCAUCAGAAAGGAAAGCGAAAGAAGAUAAAAACCAGCUCUUUUUACAUGUUCGCUCCGUUGAUUUUGCGUCAGGCUGAACAUUUCUUCUGCUUUUCGUGAGAAGGAAAAGAAGUUUCAACUUUCAACUCUACUAUGAUCUCUUCGGUGGCUACGGAUAUGCCACAUCUUAAUAUUCUGAUACUAAAUUCCGAAUUGACACUUGACCUGUGCACCAAUCAACAACGACGUGACACCCAACCUCAGUAACGUGGUGUGUUUUCCAAUUUAUCUAUUUUCUAAUAACAAAAACAAUGCUUUUGUGCCGGUCAACAUCAGGCAGCAGAAACUGAGAGCCAUGAGCCCAUGAGCAUCUUCAGAGUAUAAUCCUUUCUGAGGUGGCAAAGGUGCAAGGGCAUAUCCGGACCCAGCCAUGUACAUUCUUUCUGAGAUAACCGGAUAAAAUCCUUCAAAAGCAAUAGAAAAAUGAAGCUGCCAACAACCAGCACAUGAAUCAUCAACUGUCGGUGCCCUCGUUGAACAGCCGAACAAUCAUGCUUAUACAAAAUCGAACGCAGUGCUACUCCCAAAAGAGUUUCCCAGCGCCCAGGAAAGCGCCAAUCACAUGGUCCAUUUCAUAUGGCAUAUGAUCUCCAGCCUGGAGGAUCCGUCGCCGAAGAUAUUUCGUUAUCCCGCCACAACAGGCAAGCAAAAGUAGAUAACGCAAUAUUACAGUUUAUUCAGGCUAAGCUGAGCUACCCUGUGAAGAAGCAAAACGGGGCAUCAGGCAGGCAUGCAGAGCUGUGUCAAAUGAGAGUAACGGAGGAAAGGGGAUGCUUGCGAAAGGUUGCUCCAGAAUGUUUAUGCAGCCUCCACAUUUGGUUCAGCAUCCCCAUUAUCUUCAUCAGGCCCCCCAUCCUUCUUCACAAAGUCAAAUCCAUAUUCUUCCUCCGAAUAGUGCUCCUCGGCGCUUCUGCCAAAGAUGAAUGGUCUUCUACCCAUCGUUGUAAAAGGCAUUAGCCCAAAGGCACGCGCGGUUUUGAUCUCUCUUGCAAUCUUACGCUGAGCUUUCGCACUUAUGCGAGUCUGCAAAGAAGAUCAGUAAGUCAAAAACUGUGGCAAACAUAUGUUCAAUGCAGAAUUACAUGUGCAACGGCACUCUCUAUGGUAGUAAUGUAAUGGUUAAACAAGGUAACACAUGAAAAAGAACAUUGGCAGUGGGUUUGCAGAUAUGAAUAUAGAUGUCAUGCAUGGCUCUUCAUUUAAUACGUGGAUUGAAUUUAUAAUCAAGUCAAUGAAAAGAUAGACAUCCACCAAGAAGAUCUACACACAGCAGCAAAUGCUUAUCUUUCUAAGAAGAAAAGGUAUACAUGGAUGGGGUAAUGCAUAGAGGACAAUGGCACUCAAACCCUACACUGCUAUCAGCAUGUAUGAUUAGCAUCUAUCUAACACAACAGGAUCUGAUAUUACAAAUGCAGGAUUAUCUUCCCCAAAAAAGUUCCUCGUCAGUCAUCAUGUAUAACAAGUAGUGGUUACCUGGCUUCUCUUGAUGAUAAUUCCAGCUUCUGUAAGAAAGUUGGAGAGGAAUCUAACAUUCUGCAAGGAACAGUUCCGAAUAUGUUAAAAAAAAUGAAACUGGAAGAUACUUGUAGCCACGCCAUAGGAAUUCAUCAAUCAGAUCAAAUAUAUAAUCUUUGGAGAAAAGUUAUAUUAAAUCUAAUCAAACUUUUGAAACUUUGACCAACAAUAGCUUUCAAAAUAUUUACUUUGGAAACACAAAAAUGUAUAUGCAGAUUUAUCUUGGAAAGCACUUUCAUAAUCUUAAUACUUUUAUGUAGACAUUAUAACUAUAUUCUAAUAGGAAAAACAGUGAUCAAAAUUGCACUCUGAAGCUCUUAAAAGUCAGAAGCAUCAAGUAUUUUUUACCGGUAGUAUAUAUGUUCCUUGCGGAGAGGUGUCUAACAGUAAAUAUAUAAUGGCAUGGUUUAUAGACUAGAUUUUGAUUUUCUUUGCAUGUAGAUCUGAUUUUUCAAAAGAUAUGUAUGCAUCAUUGUUUCACACCUCGAAACUCAGAAUGCAUGGCUGCUUUUCAAGUAUGUGCUUUGAUACUUACUGCAGACAAGUGUUUGAGACCAAAACCAACCCAAGAUAUAUUUAAGCUUCCUAUGUGCAUUAGUAACUUAAAACGAGUAGUGUACAAACUAAUUUGCACUCCCUCCAUUUUUAAAUAUAUGACAUUUAGGACAAGCUAAUUAGUUCACCUAAAUGUCAUAUAUUUAAAAACGGAGUAUUUCACUGUAAUGAAGUACCUACAUGUGCUAAGUUAAAAUAUAACAAGUAGCACAAUCACAAGAAAAUGUCAAGAGUACCAUAGAUUAGGACUAACGGUGAAUAUUGGUCCUGUUCUAUUUGUAAAUAAGAUGAUAUUUCAGGAAAAUCACAUAUUGACAAAUACAUGAUAAAUUAAAGGGCGGCAGGUACAUUGCUUGUUAACACUAUCCCGACUUUCUCGAAUGGAAAAAAAGGGUGCCAUUUUUAGAUCAGCACAGAUUUGUUCCCAAAAUUCAUGCUAUUUAGCAGUUUAGGAUUUACAAAGCAGUAGAGCACUACUAAUCAACAAUUCAACGUAAAAUAAAAGAAAAUAUAGUCAAUUUCCUUGUGUUUCCAGGCAGAUAUACUAACCCUAAAAUCAGCCUUCCUCAAAACCUCCGCUGUAGUUGUUUCAAACUGUGGUCUAGGAGGGUUCUUUGCGGCUGCAGGUCUUUUAAGGUCAAGGUCCUACACACAUUAGAAUUGAAUGAAAUAUGGCAUUAGAAUAACAAUGACACAAAUGAUGAAAGAAAAAUGUAAAUCACAUGUGGUAUUAUAAAGACUAAUAGCAUCAGCAUUUGGUGGCUUUUAAUGAUCCAGGAAAUAACUUAUUGGAAAAGCAAUGCCAUUUGUUUCGCAAAGAUCUGCCUAGUAAAGCAUACAAUUUUGCCAUACAUAGACAAGGACAACACUGGCAUUUCUAGACAACACACUUACACCCUGAAUUACUGAAUGCUUAGCUUACACAGGAUAACAAAACCUCAAGACUGCAAAAGAUUUUAGAUGUCACGUGACUACGCAUUGAUGAAACAAACUCCCUCUUACCCGAACAUUAUAAGUCGAACCUCGCCUAAAGUCGACAUCAGGCCUGAAAUCAAAGUCUUCAUCAUCCCAGUCCUCAUCAUCAUCGUCGUCAUCGUCCAUUUGGAAGUUACGUGCCACAUGAGCCAGCGUCUCACCCAUUCCAUCAUUCAAAGAGUCAAAACCACCCAAUGGCCCAGAGCUGCUCCUGUCGCCGAACACACCAAAACCACCCAUGGACCCAGAACUGCUCCUGUUGCCCAAACCACCGAAACCAGCCAUGGAUCCAGAGCCCAUGCCGUAUCUCUUACUGGUAUUCUCAACCUUAUCGAGCUUCCGAUAGAGUGACCCCUCGUCCACCCCCUUGUUGCUCCCAAACAGACGCGCCUCGAAUUCAUCCAUGGUCUCACCAAUCUCGCCAUCCCCUGCGCAUCAAUCAGCACCAGAAGCAUAUCAGCAGCAGCGUAAUUAGGAGAUCACUAUAGGAUCAAUUCUUCAAUCUCAUAACAUAACACCUGAAGUCACUAGAAAUGACGAGUUUUAGCACGCAAAAGCUGGGCAACUAAUAUGCGUCAGACUCAGACCUAGAUCUCUAAGGCCAUUCGAUUCACCUUAUUGUUACGACUAAAUGGGAAGAGUGGGCAAGUACGAGAACUACGCGCAUCACGCGGCACAAAAGGGGAGGGAGACACUGCAUGGGACGGCUAGGGAGCGGCGGGGACAGGAGGAGGAGGAGGUGUGGGUGCUCACCGGACUGGAAGGAGCGGCAGAACUCGCUGGCGGCGGGUGGCCGGUGGGAAGGGAGGGCUCGUCGGAGCGAGGCGCGCCGCGGGAGAGAUCGCCUCAGAGCCGAGCUCGCCAUCGCGCUCGGUGGUGAUUCGUCGGCGCCGCCGCAACCCCGACACCAGGGAGGAGCGGGGGAGGAGUGGGUGAACAGGGGUUAGGGGUUUCCUCCUUUUUGCGUUUUGGACCCCGUGGAUGACCCCUUUUUGCGUUAAUACUAUCACUCCAAGUUCUUGCUUAACCGAGGGGGUGUUUGGUUAUCACAUGGAAGGUAUAGAUAUUAAUUAGGAGUAUUAAAUAUAGAUUAAUUAUAAAACUAAUUACAUAGAUGGAGGUUAAUUUGCGGGAUGAAUCUAUUAAGCCUAAUUACUCCAUGAUUUGACAAUGUGAUGCUACAGUAAACAUGUGCUAAUGAUGGAUUAAUUAGGCUUAAUAGAUUCAUCUCGCGAAUUAGCCUCCAUCUAUGUAAUUAGUUUUAUAAUUAGCUCACAUUUAGUCCGAAUAUUCGAUGUGACAUGAAUUUUAGCCCGGACUAAAUCCAAACACCCCCUAAAUAACUAGUACAGUAACUUUUCAAAAAAAACCUAAAUAACUAGUUCAAUGCUCUCAGUUUGUUUUUUGUGAUGUUUCGCUGCUGAUGCAUUUGUUUCGUUGUGUGAUUGACUGAAUCCAUAUACUGGUAACUAGUACAUAAAGCAUGAAACAACUAAAUAUCUCGGUAAGUUUUUAUAUUUCAAUUACUCGCAAAAAAAGGUUUUAUAUUUCAAUUAGUUAAGUCUAACUUUAGAUCGAGAUGAAAAAAAAUCUUGCACGCCAUAAAUAUGGCAUUGGAUUUUUUUUAUAACCUUACUACAAAUUAAUUGUUUGGUUUAUUAGUAUUUGAAAAGCUCAUGCUUUUAUAAAAAAAAUAUUGACUAACUGUUAGUCAGAUAAUACACAUUCAUUAUGAAAAUUAUAUUAAUCAAUUUGUAUUUCACAAAUACUUUAGUAUAACAUCAUUUUUGUAGUGUUGGCAUAUUAUAAUGAUAACUUUAUAGUUAAAGUACUCCAAUUUUUUCUAGGCAAUGAAAACUUCUAACAAUUUUUCAGAUUAGUCUUGUAAAAAUAAGCUAAGGGAGUACAAGUAUUCUUUAGCUUGGCGUGGUACCUAUUACAUUGUAAUUAUCUCAUGCCUUUUGCUUUGUGAAACAUCAUAAUGUUGUGGUAAUAUGAAAGUUUGGCUGAAUAUGCCUCAUUUUGGCAUGAGGUUUAUGAUCGAGAAAACAUGUAGCCAACACUAGAUUGACGCAUUUAAGUCAUGUAGAUGCUUAGAGGUUGCUAAAGAAAUGAAAAAAAAUACAUACACAAAAUGCUUGUUCACAAUAGAGACAAUCAUCUUUGUAGAUGUCUUUGUGUUGAAUUUGUGCGAAUGGCAUUUACAAUAAGUAUAUAACUAUCUUGAUCUUUUUACUUACAAUAGUACAAGAUGUCGUUCCUGGCUUAUCUAGGAACUCUAUGUCGGUUUUUAGACCCGGCAACCUACUAAGGGGGUAAUCGAGAUAGUGUUUUAUACGUGGAGCUUGCUGAGAUCACGAACUGGGAGGUGAACUCGAACACACGAUUUAGACAGGUUCGAGCCGCUUAUGUCGCAUAACACCCUACAUCCUGUGUGUUAGUUGAGUUGUAUUGAUUGAACUUGUUUGGAGGAGGUCCCUGCCUUGCCUUAUAUUGCUGGGGGCAGGGUUACAGGUCGGUUGUUUACAAGAAUACUAAUCGUAUUCGACUAGAGAAUCCUACUCUAAUUGCUACAAGUAGUUUCCUGCACCGUAAUCUCUAUGUCUGACACAUCUCGAUGUACUGCCCUGUAUCUAGGAUUGUCCAAACCUUCUGGUGGGCCCAUAGAUGUAUGGACGACAAUCCCUCGAGUACUUUUUAGUAAAAUGUAGCCGUUCUGAGUACUUCUAUAGAUGUCUCCGACUAGUUUGUGGUGCUUCUUUGAGUACUCCAUCGGAUUGAGUCUUCGAAUGUACUCGAGUACUGCCAUGCAGCUAGAAUAUGCUCAAGCCUCAUUUAACUUGGUCUUGAAUCUUCAAUCUUGAAUCUUAUAUGGAAGUGCGAUGAAAAAUCGCACUCCAUAUGAAGUAGCCCCGAACCUUAGGUUGAAUUGAAGAAUCAGGCUGAGAGUCAAUCUUGUAAUUUCACAUCUCUUUUACCUUAAAACCCCAAAGAAAAAACUUUUUAGCCGAUGGGCACGUUUCUACAUUGCGGUGUAGUUGUUUCUUGAAUCACUCUUGGAUGGUUCGUUGAUAUGUCGCGUCUGCAUUCUUCAACCUGAAGGGCAUCAUAGUAUAGCAGAAAGCUCCAUACAGGGUGAUGAACGCGAUCUUGAUCUGGUCUUGUUCCUUGAGAGCUAUCUGGUGAUACCCCGAGUAGUAAUCAAGAAAACAUAGUAGAGUGCAUCCAGUCGUUGAGUCGAUGACUUGAUCAAUCCUUGGGAGCCCGCAGGGAUCCUUUGGACAGUGCUUGUUGAGGUUUAUGUAGUCGACACAUAUCAUCCACUCGUUGUUGUUUUUCUUCCGCGCCAAGAUGGGAUUGGCUAGUCAUUCUGCAUGAUAGACUUCUUUUAUGAAACCAGCCGCAAGUAGUUUGGCUAACUCUUUUUUGAUUGCUUCUCUUCUGUCUUGGGCGAAUCGGCGUAGUCGCUGUCAUUUUAGGCCUUGUUUAGUUGCUUGAUUUUGGGUGUCCAAAAUCACUGUGCUAGCACUGUAGCACACUAUAGCGUUUCGUUUGUAUUUGUGAAUUAUUUCCAAAUAUUGACUAAUUAGGCUCAAAAGAUUCGUCUCGCAAAGUACAACAAAACUGUGCAAUUAAUUUUUGAUUUCGUCUACAUUUAGUACUCCAUGCAUGUACCGCAAGUUUGAUGUGAUGGGAAUCUUCUUUUUGCAUAGUAUCAAAGUUGGGAGUUUGGGGGGAACUAAACAGGCCCUUAGUAUAGUUUUGGGAUCCACAUUUAGUGAGUGCUCGAUCAACUCCCAGGGCACCCUCGGCAUAUCAGAUGGCUUCCAUGCAAAGAUGUCUCGGUUGGUCUAGAGGAAGCUGACGAGCGCAUCUUCCUAUUUGGGAUCCAGCCCUGAGUCAAUCAUGGCUGUCUUAGAGCUAUCGCUGGUCAUGGCUUUGAUAUUGACCUCACUUGCCGGCUUGACCUUUGUUGCCCCCGACUUCUUCUCUAGGAUCUCGAGUUCUGUCGGGGAAAGUUUCUUGGAGGCAGUGAAGACUUGCAUCAUCGAAUUUGGCACCUGAGUAGUCGCUGCCAGUUCGACAGCUUUUGUGUCGUAGUCGUAUGAUUUCUUCAAGUCUCCGCGCAGGGAGAGUACUCCCUUGGGUCCCGGCAUUUUGAGUACUAGGUACACGUAAUGCGGGAUGGCCAUGAAUUUGACCAGUGUGGGUCUUCCGAGAAUAGCAUGAUACGACGUUUCGAAAUCAGCCACCUCGAACUAGAUGUCCUCGGUUCGGUAAUGAUCCUUGGUCCCGAAGGUAACUGGCAAGACUACCUGAUCAGGGGGUACAGCCGCGUUUCCUGGGACAAUCCCGUAGAAUGGGGAGUUCGUCGGGGUGAGCAUAUAUCCAUAACGUCAAGGCCCAUUUUCCUCAAAGUCUACCGCCAUCAAUGAGUACUUUUGUGAGUCUAGAGUCUACAACUACUAGGUCCAGGAUGAGAGGGUAGCGUCCUGGGUCAGAGAAACUAGUCCACUGAUCCUUCCUGGAGAAAGUGAUUGGUACCUCGGACCACUUGAGGAACGUAGGCAUUGCUAGCUCAAUGGAUAUGAUCUCUCGGAGGGCUAGUUUUUGGGACCGCUUGGUAGCAGUACCCUGUGUGCCGCCGAAGAUGAUGUUGACAUUGUUGGACGGGUUCUAAAAUUUGUCGUUGUCGUCAUCAUCCUCGUCUUCUUUCACCUUGCCCUUAUCCUUUGCUCCAGAAGGUUCCGACAGAUCUUUCAUGACCCUGCGGAGGCUAUAGCAAUCCAUCGCAGAGUGCUUAGAGUGUGGGUGCUACGGGCGCUGUUUUUUCAGGAGCUCUAUGAACAGAGUCCUUUCUUGAUUUCCGCCGUCUUUCUUGGACGACUGGAACAUCGCCGUGACAGUAUUAUUUGACUUCCUCUUGUGAUUUUGACCACCCGAGUAGUUGCCUCGGUUGUCAUUAUUGGGUCAAUUAUUACAGUUCACAUCAUUGCGUUGGCCAUUACUUUGCUUGUUAUUGUUCUGACCUCAGUUACGACUAGACUCGAACCGUUCAAUCUCUUUAUCUUUUUCAUCGACCCAGGCUUGUAUCAUGAUCUUGAGAGAUUUGAUGUCUUCCGGGCGUAUCCUGCCCAAAUCUUGGAACAUCCGGCAAUCAAAAAGACCGUUAUGGAAGCAGUCUAUGGCGUCCCACUUCGUGAUGUCCAUGAUAGUGGCCUUCUUGUCGAAGAAACGGCAUAGAUAACUACGUAGGAUCUCGCCUUGUUGUUGUUUGAUUUGUGACAAAUCAAUCCUAUUGCCAGGGCGUUGCAUUGCCCCUGUGAAGUUAUUUGUGAGCGCCGCCUUGAGGUGACUCCACGUGUUGAUGGAGUUCUCUUCUAAGGAUUCAAUCCAUGUGAGUGGCCCUGCCUCCAUGCAGAUGGGGAAGUAGAUGACUUUAGUGUUAUUGUUUGUUCCCGCUACCUGAACUGACAGCGAGUAGCACCGCAGCCAUUGGACUGGGUCCUGCUUGCUGUCGUACUUUGUGAUACCUGGAGGUUUAAACUUGUAGGGUAGGACCAUCUUGCGUACUCAUUUUGAGAAGGCGGGAAACCCGUUAGAAUCUUCUUCGCGAUUAUUGUUGAGCUUCUAAUGGAGGUCACGUGCUGGGGGUUCAGGCUCUGGAUAGGGCCCACGGUGGCCACGGCCUCUCGAGGGUCCUACCCGACUACUCUGCCCUGUGCUAGCUUGAUCUGGGUUCUCAAUUCUGGUAACCUCAUUUUGACUUGGUCUGGCACCCUCAUUUCGACUUGGUCUGGUGCCUUCAUUGCGACUUGGACCCCUAAGGCUACUGCCAUGAUGGGAUGAGGUGUGUCGAACCGAGUGUAUUGGGCUCUGUUGAUCAAGUUGCUCGUACGCACGCUCUGCUAGCUGAGCCAGUUGCCUGGUAUACUUGUCCUAUGGCAUUGCCCAAGUAAUCAGGUCAAUGGAUGCAAUAGUGGUGAGAGGAGUGCGAAGUUGACGCGAUUGGACUGCUUCGAAUGCGCGGUCCAAGUUCAUGAUGGGUAGAUCGGAUGCAAGGGGGCGACGACGAUCUGCUCGUGCCGUGUUUCUUGCUCACCGUCGAUUCCUUUGACUUCCGGUUUCUUCUCCUUUUAUGUUGGCGGUGAGCUCAUCCUGCGACACAUCGUCUGGAUGACGCUCGUGUCACGGAUGCCUUUCUGGUGGUUCUUCACCGUCGCCAUCUUGAGCAGCUAUGAUGGUGAGUAGUUCCUGCUCCGCAGAAAAAUUACCCGAGCUUGACAUGAUGAUCUUUGUCGGGCCGUCUUCUUCGUAGAUAGGAGACAGAGGUGUUCCUUCCUGGUAUGGGAGAGUAUUAAGAUAGGUGACAAGGCGUGACUCAUCGUCCUUGGCGAGAGCAGGUGGCUCCAUGCCGGGCUAGUAGACGAAUCUACCUUGUGAAGUUGAAAUAAUUACCAAUCCCUGUUGUGGACCUGAUAAAGGGACUUUCUCAUAUGGAUCUGAGUAUUAUUCGAGAUCCUCGAUCAAAUCCGAGUUAGAUUAUGAUCUGAACAGGGUAGCUUGGUAGACAGUACCCGAGUUUUGGAGUCCGAACGGGAACCGACUUGUAUCUAGACCGAUUCGCACGAUGGCUUAAGUGCCAGCUCGUGGGAAUCAAUCUGACUGGGGGAAGAAGUCGAGUUGUACUCGGACUCGUCCCCGGAGCCUCGGAAUAAGUCAAAAAUUUUGUUGAAUUUUUCGACAAAAUCCUCCAAAGCUUGGCGAUGAAGGUUGAUGUCGUAGUGCUUCUCCUCGGGUGUCGGCGCAAUGUGGUGGUGGAAGUUUCUAGUACCGUCUGCGACGCAGACCCAGAAGCCGAAGAUGAAUGUUGCGCCCGCUUCAAACGCGAAGGUGGGCUUGAUGAUGACUUGAGCCAUCGAGUUCGUCAGUGGAUUCUCAGCGAGAGCCCCUACCUAUCGCGCCAGCUGUCGGUGUUUAGACCCGGCAACCUACCGAGGGGGUACCUGAGGUAAUGUUUUAUGCAUGGGGCUCGCCGAGAUCAGGAACUCGAAGGUGAACUCGAACACACAAUUUAGACAGGUUCGGACCGCUUAUGUCAUGUAACACCCUACGUCCUAUAUGUUAGUUGUGUUAUAUUGAUUGAACUUGUUUGGAGGGGGUCAUUGCCUCGCUUUAUAUUGCUGGAGGCAGGGUUACAGGUCGGUUGUUUACAAGUAUUUUAUACAUUGGAAGUACAUUUGCUAGCAAAUUUAUCGAUAUCUUUUCAUUUUAGUCAAAACAUUCAAACAAGUGUUAGCCAUAGCCCAAACAGUAGUAAGAAGAGGCAAUUAUUUUCAUCUCAGGACUGCUCGGUCAGAAAGGGUCAGAAAGUGUUUGCCAUAGCCCAAACAGUAGUAACAAGUGUUAGCUCGCCCCCUUUCUGCCAGGGGUAAGGAUGGCGGCGGCGGCGGCGGCGGCGGCGAUACUCGAGCUGGACCCGUCGCACGAGCGCGCCGCCCGCGUCAUCGACAAUAUCGUGCGGCUAGAGAGGAGGAUCUUCCCGAAGCACGAGUCGCUGGCGCGAUCCAUCCACGACGAGCUCAAGCGCCGGAACUCCGGCCUGAUUUACAUGACAUCCAGCGCCGCACGAGCAGGAGGCGACGGCGAUGAGGUCGUCGGGUACGCCAUGUACACCUGCCCGACCUCCCUCUGCGCCACCAUCACCAAGCUCGCCGGUGAGAACACAACUAGAGCCUUCUCUAUCCUCUCUUCCCCCUGAAGCUGCCAGCUAAGACCGUGCGCAAAACUUCAACUCUGUGCGCAGUGAAAGAGAGCUGUAGGCGGCAGGGCCACGGCGAGGCUCUGCUGAAGGCGGCCGUGGAGCGGUGCCGGGGGAGGAGGGUCCAGCGGGUGAUCCUCCACGUAGAUCCGGCGAGGACGGCCGCCGUCGCGCUGUACCGGAAGGCCGGGUUCCAGGUCGACGCCACCGUCGAGGGAUACUACGCGCCGCGGAGGGACGCCUACCGGAUGUUCGUGGAUCUUCAGUGACAUGGGAGCCGAUCAAGAAAACAAGCAAGCAUCGCUUCUUCGUCGUCCUCGUGAGAGAAUCGAGCUCGCUUGCCAGUUGCGAACGAGCAGUAGCUCUGAUUCUCCUCACAGUGUCAAUAAGAUGCUCUGAUGCAUUCUGAUUCUGCGAAUGCUAUUAUGGAUGAUUCCCUAGUUCCAAAUUGCUGGAUCUGUACAAACGAUCCAUUCAGUUCAGAGGAUUCCACAAGAUCAGUUCAAUCCCCACUGGGAUCUGAAAAAAAAAUCUCACAAUUCCGGUUGAAAUUCAGACAAACUUUCACAUUUUUGAGCUUACACGACUAAGAUACUUUAUGCAGUCACUAACUCUAGAUAAUCUUGCAAGUGUUGGAUAAUUCGGUUCACCGUUGAUGUCACAUCAUUUGUCCUGCUAGGACAGGCUAACUCAACAAGUGGUGGGCAUUUUUUGGAAAAUUUUGAACCUUUUAUAAGCUAAUAGCAACAGUCGUUCCUAAUAAUGGGGGGCUAGAUUCAGGGCCUGUUUGGCAACCAAGUGUUAAAAUUUAACACCUGUCACAUCGGAUGUUUGGAUGCUAAUUAGGAGUAUUAAAUAUAGGCUAAUUACAAAACUAAUUGCACAGAUGAAGUGUAAUUCACGAGACGAAUCUAUUAAGCCUAAUUAGUCCAUGAUUUGACAAUGUGGUGCUACAGUAACCAAUUGCUAAUGAUGGAUUAAUUAGGCUUAAUAGAUUCGUCUCGCGGAUUAGCACAGGGUUCUGCAAUUAGUUUUAUAAUUAGCUCAUAUUUAGUUCUCCUAAUUAGCAUCCGAACAUCCGAUGUGACACUGUUAAAGUUUAACACCUCGUAUCCAAACACCCCCUCAUUGACACUAAUUAGCAGCCUAUUUGCAGCAGAAACUUUCCAACGCUCAGACCUUUAUGUUGCUUCACUAACGGAAACAUGAGAUGGUCACAAACAAGCCUGCCUCCAUUUGGGGCAAGCACAGAGUUCUCUAUUAACAGAGCCAAGUCAGAUAUGUACAGAGUGGCUGGAUAUGAUUUAGGAUGCAUGCAGGCACUAAAUAAGUUCUAAAGCACGACCAGACGGCUUGCGGCUCCAAAGCAAUUCAGGCACUUCCAAAAGCUCGAGUAAAGCAUGGAAGUGGAUAACAGGGGCAUAAAAUUCACUGGAACUGGGUACUGACUGAAGGUCUUCGAGGAGGCAGCAUCACGGUCAUUUUAUGUGGGAAUCAUAAGCAGUGAAGAUGACGUCUGGGACAAUCAGAGGCAGCUUGCUUAUGUACAUGAACAGCCGUCUGAGGUUCUCACUCGACACCGUCUCCAUGUCAACCACGUCUUGGUCCUCAACAUAGAUCCACAGGUCACCAGGACAGGUCUUCUUCAGGUUGUCACGGCAGAAUGGGCAUGACUGCGAUCUUGAAUUCCUGCGAGAAAGCAAUGUUAUGUCAAAGCAUAGUAUCUGGAACACGAAAAAUAUCAAUUCUAACAGUAGUCACUAUGGUGAAAACCUUGGAGCAUGGAAUUCAGUGACUCAAAAACCAAGACACGCUAAUUGAAAAGGUGCAUUGGCUAAAAGAAUACAGACAAACUACAAUUAUCAUAGUCAUAGGAACACCUAGUACACAGAAUAAAUUGCAGGCACCUACUAUCAGUGUUUGCUAACAUAUGAAGCUACUAUGAAUGGCAGGACCACAACUUAAUGAGCUAAAUUGUUAGCUGAAGAGAACAAAGGAGUACAGUGUUUUCAUCAUAGCCUAGAACUGAUGCGCUGUAAACAGAGUACAUGGUUGACACAGAAGAUGAAUGAUUGUGUUCAUGGAAUGGACCAAAAAAGAAAAGCAAUACUUGAUACACUCAGGUUUCUCUUUGCAAUGAAGGAAUGGGAGAACAUAGUUAAAAGAAUCAGGUGCGAAUCAGCACAUUUAGCAUACUUAACAGUAGUUGGCAAAAUUACCUGAAUAUCGCAAUGCUACUUUCUAAUGAUCACUUCAUUUUCAGAAUGACAUCGGGACAACAUAUAAAUCAAUACAAACAUGCUUCACAGAGCAUUAUGUUCUGUUCAGCUACUGGCCAUUCAACCCCAGGGGCUUCCUUACAAGAGAGGUUAACCUUGUACAGACACCAUAAGCAUGGAGGGUCUUAGUCUUGUUUAUAAGCAUAUAAGUUGGUGAAAGAACUAGAAAGACAGGUUUAAGCUUAUCUGCAGAAAGAACCAUUCUCAGCAGCUCAUGCUUAGCAGGCCCUCAAGCUUCAAAUAUUAUCAAGACACAGAAUAUACUUGAAUCAUCCAGCUAAAAAGCUUGUUAAUUGGGAAGAUAACGCAAGAAUGUUGCACUUGCACAGCAGUAAAAGUUUAAGCAAUUGGGAAUACAACGCUCAAUGCAGUCACGCAAAAGGCAUGGGCAGAAACUGAAAUUUCGUGCAUACCAGUCCUGGUAACAUCUGAGGCACAUAGCAUGGGUGCAGUUGGGCAACACAACUUUGCUGUUCAUCUCCAUGCAGAUCCCACACUCUUCUUCCCUCUCAACAUCAAUAUCAGAUAAGCUGCUUCGUUCGUCCUCAUCUUUCUUUCUGUACCUCUCCAUGCACACAGCCUUCUGCUUCUUGUCCUCCACAUCAGUGAUCCCCCUUUGCAGUUGCAGCAAAGAAGGAAAUAUCACAGCUGCCCAUGCCAACCACAAUGAACUCCGAUCAACAAACCAGCACAAAAGAUAACAUAGUCAGGCAAAGUUGUAAGAACAUCAUGUACUCUCACCAUAGAAUUCUUUGAUGCUGGCUUUCCUCUCAUGAGUCGACAUGGUUGUCGUGCCAUCGACAUAAACCUGCAAAAUGGCCACUAAUUCAGCAGGGCACCUCCAAAAUGUGAGCACUGAACCAACAAACACACAGGGGCAGAGCAUUCCACAGACCUUGUAUAUGAGAAUCCUCAGCAGACCAAGCGCCCCGGCAAGGCUGCAGUCAGUCCACUGCACCAGGAAGAGGAAUAUAUGCGCGGCGGAGCUGUAAGACAGCCGCAUCUGCAGGCACGCACCAUCGCAGUCUCGGGGAAAUUCAGAGGCCCUGCUCAUUCAAACAAGCAAACAACUAGCAUCACUUGGCAGAUCACAUGCGCUCGGAGAGUCGGAGAAGAGACACCACCUUCUCCUCCCCUUUCCCUCUAGGCAAAAACUAUAAUACUCCAAUUUAGAACGCUGGAGCACAUGGGAAUGAAGCAGUGUUUUCUUUUUAGUUAACAUGCUAAACACAUGCGAUCCCCUCCCGAUCUACCGCCCUGCGCCGCGCCCGUGCGCGCGCGGAUAACGCAAUCAGCAACCAGCGCCGCACCAACCUCCCACGACGAAUCCCUCCGCGGGAGACGAACCGGGUGGGUGCUCGAUUGAUCAACCCGUCGCACUCCCUACCCGCCGCCGCAUUGCGCAGCGCCGGCAGCAGCAUGAGGCGGCGUGGACCCAGCCCCGGCAGAACCCCAAGCGCCGACUCGAUCAGGAAGUCAGGCAGAGAGAGACGAGAAGGACACGAGGCCCGUACUAGUGAACUGGGAGCGGAAUCGGCAGGAGACGGUGAUGUGACGCGGCGCCGGAAUCGGGAGGGGGGCGGAGAGGGGGAGGGAGAGAGGCGGGCGAGCUGGGCUUACAGGGUGUUGGCGUGCUGGAUGUCAGCUUCGAGCACCUUGAUGGAGUCCCUGUACGCCUUCCGCAUCCUCCUCCGCCGCCGCCGGUGCUGCCCUUCUCAUCCAAGUGCCGCCCGGUCCCGGCAAACCCCCCGCCUCUCUCUCGCACCUGGCUGCGCUGGUGGCGUCGGAUUGGGAGGAGGGAGGUGAGGCGAGAGGGUCUGGGGGGUCUCGGGCGCCGCGCGGUGGGGGGUGGGGUGGGGUGGGUGGCGUGGGGGAGUGGUGGGAUGAAGGAGACGAUGAGGGCGCGGCGCAGGGGCAGGGGCAGGACGCGACGCGCGAGUGGGCGUGCCGGGCGCGCAGGGCAGACAGGGGAGAGCAGAGCGCGCCGCGUGUGCCCGCGCCGGGCGUGGCCGCGUCGGGAUGCGUGAGAUCCCCGUGGGUCUGGGGCGCCUCUGCCCUCCUGCCGGCCCCGCUCUGGGUUUUCCUCUCCUCUUUCGGGUGGUAACUGGUGUCCGGUAACAGCCGGGUAAAUGUUUAUGCGUGGAAAAGCAGCCGUGCACCGACGUCCGGCGACGGAACUCGGAAGCUACCGAAAACGGUAGGAAUAAGGUGAGGCGGAGGGUCGACAUUGUUGUGUGGUUAUAUAAGAGGAAGAUUUUGCAGAUUUUGUGAGAAAGUUCUAAAACUUGUGAAUAAGUAAUUAUAGUAUUUUGGAUGCGUAAACUUCUAAUUUAGGAAAUUUAUGGCCUAAGAGUUGUUUCUCUACGGACUACGGCACACAUACAAUGCAACACGAGAAUUUAUUAUGGUCAUACGCGCUUGAGAUCCCCGUACCAUAUUUUACCCAACACAAAGUAACCUUUUUAGAUUAAGGAAAUCAAAUUCCGGCCUCAGCUAUCAGAAGGUUGAAAGCUUGCAGAGAACUAAGGCCGUCUCCAGUGGGCCUGUUCGCUUCAGCUUAUAAGCCGGCUGAAAAGCUGAAACAGUUGAUUUGUUGUGAGAGGAAAACACUGUUUGAUAGCUGAUAAGCCAGCUGAAUAAGCUGAAGCGAACGUGCCGAACGCUAGUAGAAAUAAUAUUCUAUUUGCUAAACAGUAGCAAAACUGUGACGCUAGCGCAGCUCGGAGCGAUAGUCUCGUGCAGCUCCCGAUACUUUUCUCCCUCACCACAAAACUUGAAGCUGUCUGCUGCGCCUGAUCAUCCCGUUUUCCUUCCGGCUUACAGCUACCAGCUGUCUUAUACCGCUGGAGCUGCCCUAAGGUUAUAAUGUAACCAACAUGCAUAUGCAGUGAUCAUUGACCAAUUAGUGGGCAGCCUAGUUUUGCAUUUCUUGAUUAUCUUCACCAACUGGAAUGUUACACGCAGGUGGCCUGUGGUUAUCCUGUUGCUUUCAACUCUUCCUUUUCACGAGGCCAACUGAACAACUUUCAUUAUCGCUAAGUGCACUCCGUAACACUAAUCAACCUUGUUUCGUGUAAACUCUGAACCUGAAGUAGUACUUGCACUGUGGUAAGUUAGCUGUAUAUAACGAAUGAUCCUUUUAUAAUAAGUUGCAACAACAUUCGAUCUAUACAAGCAUGCUCGUUGAAAUGCUGCUACAAACUUACGAUUUAUUUUUGAAUUUCCUAUAACUAUCCUUGUAUAUUCGACGGAAAAGAACUUUGUUACGUGCUUCAUGCUCUAUCCUACCCUACAUAUGCAUUUUUUGCUGUUGCUAUUAAGUUAUCAUAACUAUGUUGUUGGCCCUAACAUAUCUUUUUUCCUAUUGGGUUUUCACAUCAGGCACUAUUUUGAAUUGCCUGGUGUGUUUGGUUGCUGGAAUCCAGUAAAAGAUACGUAGGGAUCCGUUAUCAAUCUUGAGGACUAUUUUGUUUGUCAAGCAAAUUAAGGAUCCAAAAUAGAAAAGAAAGAUGAUUUUGGAUACGAGAUUGCAAGGUGAUGAACACCAUUAUACUGGCUUUUUCUUUCCAUUUCUCAAGUAAAAAGUGGCACCUCAAAUUUGAAUCUUGUAAAAUUCAAUAUCAUGAACCUAUAUUUUUUUAAAUGGAUUUUUUAUUUUAAAAUUUCAAAAUUGUUUGAAUAAAAGUCAAUAUUUAAAAGUUAAAACUUGAAAUUUUGUAAUAUUGGAAUAGUUAUAUUCGAAGUUGUUUUCUAACCUCAUGAAGUGCAAACUUUCAUAAUUUGUUAAUUGUAUUUCAAAGGUGGUCAGUUUUAUGUAAUUGUGAAUUUAAAAGGCAUAAUGAAGUGCAUUUUAACCCCAGAUUCCAAUUAUAUUUUAGUUUUUUGUAUAUAUAAAACUUCUAGAAAUAGCUCAAACUUUCCUAUGAAGCAACCAGUUUUGACAUAAUACACUUUGUUGGUAAUGUAUUAUUCCCAAUAUCCUGAUUGAGAGCAACCUCAUAUUUGUGGGUAUUUAUCGUUAAUGAAAGCACCCUAAUCUUGGACCCUCAUGUCAAUAGAGAAGAUAGCUGCAUUUUUAAAUACGCUAAUGGAGGUUCACAGCUACACGAAAAAAAAUCUACUUGGGUGUAUUCAAGCGAAAUAAUCUAUGAAGUGUAAUUUUUGGAUGUGUUUUCUAUGCUAAAAUAAUCAACAAACUAAUCUAAGUCAUAUUUGUUAUCAAAAAUUAUGUAUUUAAAAAAGAAUAGUAAUUUGGGUUGGAGGGAGUACAAGAUAAGAUGAAUUUAUAUGCUUAGUACCUAGGAGCAGGUAGGAGUAUAUAGUGCAGUCUAAUUCUAGGAUGCACCUAGCAAUUUGCCUCUUUGGGACCCGGCAGACUCUGGCCUGGAUGGAUUUAUGAGGCCGGCAGUGGAUCUUUCCAGUAAUUAACUAGUUUAUUUAAGGCAUGAUACCCGCGGAUAAAGUUUUUUUUUUUUG